This 81-nucleotide transfer RNA is filed under the name Glomus cerebriforme. It matches the Rfam family "tRNA". Rfam says of the family: Transfer RNA (tRNA) molecules are approximately 80 nucleotides in length. Their secondary structure includes four short double-helical elements and three loops (D, anti-codon, and T loops). Lineage: Eukaryota; Fungi; Glomeromycota; Glomeromycetes; Glomerales; Glomeraceae. The record is from Rfam by way of RNAcentral.
GCUCAGUUAGUUCAGUUGGUAGAAUGCUAAAUAUUUUAUUUUUUUAUUAUAGAAACACAGGUUCAAUUCCUGCACUGGGCU